UGGGGAAUAUUGCACAAUGGGGGAAACCCUGAUGCAGCAACGCCGCGUGGGUGAUGACGGCCUUCGGGUUGUAAAGCUCUGUCUUCAGGGACGAUAAUGACGGUACCUGAGGAGGAAGCCACGGCUAACUACGUGCCAGCAGCCGCGGUAAUACGUAGGUGGCAAGCGUUGUCCGGAUUUACUGGGCGUAAAGGGAGCGUAGGCGGACUUUUAAGUGAGAUGUGAGAUACCCGGGCUCAACCUGGGUGCUGCAUUUCAAACUGGAAGUCUAGAGUGCAGGAGAGGAGAGUGGAAUUCCUAGUGUAGCGGUGAAAUGCGUAGAGAUUAGGAAGAACACCAGUGGCGAAGGCGACUCUCUGGACUGUAACUGACGCUGAGGCUCGAAAGCGUGGGGAGCAAACA
This 402-nucleotide ribosomal RNA is filed under the name uncultured bacterium. RNAcentral's name for it is "bacterial SSU rRNA". It matches the Rfam family "Bacterial small subunit ribosomal RNA", at positions 355 to 774 of the family's 1533-position model. The record is from RNAcentral.